RNAcentral lists this ribosomal RNA (466 nucleotides) under Vreelandella stevensii. Its description in RNAcentral is "partial 16S ribosomal RNA". It matches the Rfam family "Bacterial small subunit ribosomal RNA", at positions 338 to 795 of the family's 1533-position model. Lineage: Bacteria; Pseudomonadati; Pseudomonadota; Gammaproteobacteria; Oceanospirillales; Halomonadaceae. The record is from RNAcentral.
CCUACGGGCGGCAGCAGUGGGGAAUAUUGGACAAUGGGCGAAAGCCUGAUCCAGCCAUGCCGCGUGUGUGAAGAAGGCCUUCGGGUUGUAAAGCACUUUCAGUGGGGAAGAAAGCCUUGGGGCUAAUACCCUCGAGGAAGGACAUCACCCACAGAAGAAGCACCGGCUAACUCCGUGCCAGCACGCCGCGGUAAUACGGAGGGUGCGAGCGUUAAUCGGAAUUACUGGGCGUAAAGCGCGCGUAGGCGGUCUGAUAAGCCGGUUGUGAAAGCCCCGGGCUCAACCUGGGAACGGCAUCCGGAACUGUCAGGCUAGAGUGCAGGAGAGGAAGGUAGAAUUCCCGGUGUAGCGGUGAAAUGCGUAGAGAUCGGGAGGAAUACCAGUGGCGAAGGCGGCCUUCUGGACUGACACUGACGCUGAGGUGCGAAAGCGUGGGUAGCAAACAGGAUUAGAUACCCUAGUAGUC